UACGUAGGGGGCAAGCGUUGUCCGGAAUCAUUGGGCGUAAAGAGCGUGUAGGCGGCCCGGUAAGUCCGCUGUGAAAGUCGAGGGCUCAACCCUCGAAUGCCGGCGGAUACUGUCGGGCUAGAGUCCGGAAGAGGCGAGUGGAAUUCCUGGUGUAGCGGUGAAAUGCGCAGAUAUCAGGAGGAACACCGAUGGCGAAGGCAGCUCUCUGGGUCCCUACCGACGCUGGAGUGCGAAAGCAUGGGGAGCGAAUGGG
RNAcentral lists this ribosomal RNA (253 nucleotides) under uncultured bacterium. Its description in RNAcentral is "partial 16S ribosomal RNA". It matches the Rfam family "Bacterial small subunit ribosomal RNA", at positions 524 to 776 of the family's 1533-position model. The record is from RNAcentral.